RNAcentral lists this long non-coding RNA (264 nucleotides) under Cyanistes caeruleus (blue tit). Its description in RNAcentral is "lncRNA (ENSCCEG00000022902.1)". The record is from RNAcentral. Lineage: Eukaryota; Metazoa; Chordata; Aves; Passeriformes; Paridae.
CAAGAUCAUUGAAUUUCCAAAUCCGCCAAGUCAUUUCUCAAAUGUACUUAUUAUCCUUGCAACUUUCGAAAUUUCUAAUGUUUAAUUAAGUGUAUUUUUUUUCUUUUUUUAUGCAUUUAGAUCUUGCCCAAACAUACAUGAAGUAAUGAAUCCAAAUGUACAUCCAAAAGAAAAGAGAACUAUUCCUGCUAACACCUAUCAUUCUUGGGAUCUAGACUGGAGAAGUGACUUGCCAAUUCUCCAUCUACGGGCUGAAUCUAAAAU